This is a long non-coding RNA of Carassius gibelio (silver crucian carp), 2613 nucleotides long. RefSeq lists it as uncharacterized. The transcript is spliced from 3 exons. NCBI's taxonomy places the organism in Eukaryota, Metazoa, Chordata, Actinopteri, Cypriniformes, Cyprinidae. The record is from RefSeq and is a predicted model, not a curated record.
CAGGGCGGGAAGGGGCGGACACGUGAUCGGCUCGGACUGCAUUUUCAGUGUGCACAUUGAAUUUUGCUACAUUCAUUGUGGGACAUUGAAUCAAAAUGCAAUCUUUCCAAAACUCAGACAAGGUGGUGGUUUUGAAUGACUCAGAAUUGUUGCAACCACUCGGAAGUCGUCAACUGAGCCUCAAUCCAUGUCCCAGUGAGGGCUAUCACAUCAGACACCAACAUGAUUUUUCUGACUUUAUUAUUUGUAGCUCAAUAAUCUGCUCUUACCUCUGAGAUCCGGAUCUGUGAUGAGAAGACGUGGAGAUGUGGAGGAUCGAAGGACCGUUCAGUUCAGGAUAAUAUGUUGCUCAUAAAUAAAUUAUUCAGAGACUCUUAUUUUAAUCAUGUUUUUCGCAUGGCUUCCCUUUAUUAAUAGACAGUAACUCAUUAGUAAUAAAAAUGUUUAAUAGGCUUGCAUAUCAUUUGCAAUUCUUUCCUGCAUUCUCCCUUUUUUGGUAAUAACGUGUAUUCCUACACAAACAGAGUACAUGGCCUUUAUCACAUCUAAUAACGAGUGUCAACAGUUCAAAUGGAAAAAUAUGGAAAAAUAGCAGUUUUUUUAGUUCAGGCUGUGUUUAGCAAUGCAUGUAAAUGCUAGCAUAAAAAUAUCUGUAACACAAUAUCUUAUGCAAUAUUUUCUGUAACACCUCUUUGUAUAUUUUAUAAUACGAUUCGUUUAGUUCAGGCUGUUCAGCAGUCCCAGACCUGUACAAUAACCCAGCAGGAUUCUUAUCACAUACUUGUCCAUUGAACUAAACAGACUUUUACUUGCAGUUUUCUGAGCAGCUCCAGGUUAAAAACAGUGGCUUAUUGUUAUUUCUUUUAAUAAUGCAGUAUGGCAGCAGAAUAUGUUCUUAACAUCGUCACCUAUGUGUUUCAACUUUAAGUCCCAGGAGGACUUCUUCUGAGGGAGAAAAAGACCACGUGAUUCCUUCUUCACCUUUCCUGAAGAAGAAGAACAACUUGAAGUGGAGAGCCUGAUGACAUAUACUGUAUCACAGAGAAAGGGAAUACAGCUGAUCAUCAACAAUCAUUGGCUGUUCUCUUCUCUCUCUGAAGGACCUUUACCACUCCCGCUGCCUCAGCAGAGCUCAGAGCAUUGAUAAAGACCACUCUCAUGCUGGUUCCCACCUGUUUAACCUGCUGCCAUCUGGCAGGCGCUACAGGUGCAUUAAAUCACGCACAAAAAGACUUAAGUAUAGCUUCUUCCCCAGAGCUAUAAAUAUGCUGAACACAAACAUGCACUGACCCCACCCCUUCCAUCUUAUUCAGUGCAAUAUGUGUAUAUCAUAUGUAUCCUUUUUUUUGUCUAUUGUAUGCCAUGCACCAAUCCGAUACCAAAUACAUAUAGGGUCAGUAUUGCCGAUACUGAUACCAAUACGAUACUUUUUACUUUUGUGUAGGGGAGUGCAGUAGGUCUAUGUCAUUGUUUCUGAGGUGGAUGAAUGAUCAAUUAUUUAGGCAAUAUUUUUAUUAAUGUAUCGAGUCCACAAAAUUAUAAGUUAUUAGGCACUGUAGAAUUAAUUCUUUACAGCGUUUUAAAAUAAUAAUAGAAAAUAAAGAAUAAAAAAAAUUCUCCCUUUUUUCUGGUUUUAAACGCAAAUGAAAUAAAGUGCACACAAUUAUUACUGAAGAACAAACACAGAAAAAUAAUCCUUUGCAAUUACAUUCCUUGAACCCCUUCUGAGUGUGCUAUCAGCUUCGCUCAGUUCGCUGGUCCUUGGCGCGAUGUGUCAGUGAGUCACGUGACGACAACAACGAAUCACAGCAGAGCAGAGCAGCGGGAGGAGUAGCAAAGUGGGCCAGCAUGUUAAAGCAGCGUUUGCUCAGGAUUGUAGAAGUAGAAGACACAAGCAAAGUUUAAUGAAAGUAGAUAUUUAAAUUAAAAUAUCAAUUCAAUUACAAUUGUAUCGAUCUGAUACCAAUACCAGUGUUGGCAUCGAUACUAUCGAUAUUUAGAUCGAUCCGCCCACCCCUAUCAGUGACUAACUAUAGACUCUCAGCUACAGUAACAACCCAAAGCACAGACUAAAAUGAUGAAAUUAUGACACAAAAUUAUUAGUGAACGUUUUGUAGGGGUUAAACCAACAACAACAAAACUCUUUUGACUGAAAAAUAUUCAACUGAACCCCAUUCCAUUGCCGUACCUGUCACAUACUGAAUUUGAUUUAUUUUAACAACAAAUUUAAAAAAAAAUUAGUACAUAAUACAAUAAGAACAAGUAAAUUAAUGAUAAACAAUAGCACAAACAAUAACAAUAACAAGCAAUGUGUUCAGUUAGGUCUAACUGUAAACUAUUCAACUGUAAAAUAACACUGGAUUAUGAAAGACAGCAGAAGGUUUAUUUAGGCAGAUACUGUUACACAGGGCGCUAUGCUUACUUUUCUUUUUAGGAGCGCAUUCCUUUUAGUUUAAAAGAAUUAGGAGUACCGUGUGAUCAAUAAUCAAAAAUUCUGGACACAAAAUUAGCCUUCCUAAUAAAAGGACAUGUGAGUCCUUAAAGUAUCUACAGAGGUAUUUUCUUUUACCUUUACAAUGGCAUCUACAUUCCACAUAAAGUGUAAACAUUUUA